UGCCUGGCCGUGGUCCCUGAGCAACGCCUCUGGACCUGCUCCCCUUCCUCUCCGAUCCUUUCCGCCGCUUUGCCCCCUGGAAUGCUUCACCGAAGUCUGCUCAAGAUCUGGAGAAGGGAAACAGCCUACAAAUGAAUGUCUCCAUGCACGACACCUUUUGAAUGACAGUAAUGCACAGCGCUCCCAAUCUGCUGGAAAAUUCGAUGGGCCUCCUCCUCCUGCAGAUGUCCAUCCUCCUGGAUCUGGUCCAGCAGCCUUCCCCCGCUCGCAUGCUCCAUUACAAGAGAAGCCUGGCAUUGCUGAUGUUACUUUGUGUUUCCUUUUCUUGGAGUGGGCUGCUUCCAGAUACCAGCCAAAAGCUUAAGUAUGUGUUUCCUGUUGUCCUGGGCUUUUCCCCUUUCUCUAGAUGUUCCCUCCUGCUUCCUACAGCAGCUUGCUGAUUUCCAUGCUUGAUAAAAAAAAAAAGCAUGACUUUCUCUGUUCUCAGUCUCCCGCCUUCUGGUGGCUGCCGGGAUUUUCAGCUUGCCUGCCCUGUUGUUUUUCUCUCAAAAUCUAAUAAAAUGGUC
Long non-coding RNA from Peromyscus maniculatus bairdii (prairie deer mouse), 566 nucleotides. RefSeq lists it as uncharacterized. The record is from RefSeq and is a predicted model, not a curated record. Lineage: Eukaryota; Metazoa; Chordata; Mammalia; Rodentia; Cricetidae.